Molecule: ribosomal RNA, 315 nt
Filed under: Vanellus cinereus (grey-headed lapwing)
Lineage: Eukaryota; Metazoa; Chordata; Aves; Charadriiformes; Charadriidae
Description: partial 12S ribosomal RNA
Rfam family: Bacterial small subunit ribosomal RNA
Source: RNAcentral
UCCGCCUGAGAACUACGAGCACAAACGCUUAAAACUCUAAGGACUUGGCGGUGCCCCAAACCCACCUAGAGGAGCCUGUUCUAUAAUCGAUAACCCACGAUACACCCGACCAUUCCUUGCCAAGGCAGCCUACAUACCGCCGUCGCCAGCUCACCUCCUUUGAGAGCAAAACAGUGAGCACAAUAGCCCACUAAGCUCGCUAGCAAGACAGGUCAAGGUAUAGCCCAUGGAAUGGAAGAAAUGGGCUACAUUUUCUAGCAUAGAAAACACGGAAGGAAGCGUGAAACCCCUUCCAGAAGGCGGAUUUAGCAGUAA